RNAcentral lists this ribosomal RNA (1318 nucleotides) under Bacteroides sp. MSK.17.76. RNAcentral's name for it is "bacterial SSU rRNA". It matches the Rfam family "Bacterial small subunit ribosomal RNA", at positions 199 to 1533 of the family's 1533-position model. Lineage: Bacteria; Pseudomonadati; Bacteroidota; Bacteroidia; Bacteroidales; Bacteroidaceae. The record is from RNAcentral.
UAUUAAAGAAUUUCGGUUAUCGAUGGGGAUGCGUUCCAUUAGUUUGUUGGCGGGGUAACGGCCCACCAAGACUACGAUGGAUAGGGGUUCUGAGAGGAAGGUCCCCCACAUUGGAACUGAGACACGGUCCAAACUCCUACGGGAGGCAGCAGUGAGGAAUAUUGGUCAAUGGGCGAGAGCCUGAACCAGCCAAGUAGCGUGAAGGAUGAAGGCUCUAUGGGUCGUAAACUUCUUUUAUAUGGGAAUAAAGUUUUCCACGUGUGGAAUUUUGUAUGUACCAUAUGAAUAAGGAUCGGCUAACUCCGUGCCAGCAGCCGCGGUAAUACGGAGGAUCCGAGCGUUAUCCGGAUUUAUUGGGUUUAAAGGGAGCGUAGGUGGAUUGUUAAGUCAGUUGUGAAAGUUUGCGGCUCAACCGUAAAAUUGCAGUUGAAACUGGCAGUCUUGAGUACAGUAGAGGUGGGCGGAAUUCGUGGUGUAGCGGUGAAAUGCUUAGAUAUCACGAAGAACUCCGAUUGCGAAGGCAGCUCACUAGACUGUCACUGACACUGAUGCUCGAAAGUGUGGGUAUCAAACAGGAUUAGAUACCCUGGUAGUCCACACAGUAAACGAUGAAUACUCGCUGUUUGCGAUAUACAGUAAGCGGCCAAGCGAAAGCAUUAAGUAUUCCACCUGGGGAGUACGCCGGCAACGGUGAAACUCAAAGGAAUUGACGGGGGCCCGCACAAGCGGAGGAACAUGUGGUUUAAUUCGAUGAUACGCGAGGAACCUUACCCGGGCUUAAAUUGCAACAGAAUAUAUUGGAAACAGUAUAGCCGUAAGGCUGUUGUGAAGGUGCUGCAUGGUUGUCGUCAGCUCGUGCCGUGAGGUGUCGGCUUAAGUGCCAUAACGAGCGCAACCCUUAUCUUUAGUUACUAACAGGUCAUGCUGAGGACUCUAGAGAGACUGCCGUCGUAAGAUGUGAGGAAGGUGGGGAUGACGUCAAAUCAGCACGGCCCUUACGUCCGGGGCUACACACGUGUUACAAUGGGGGGUACAGAAGGCGGCUACCUGGUGACAGGAUGCUAAUCCCAAAAACCUCUCUCAGUUCGGAUCGAAGUCUGCAACCCGACUUCGUGAAGCUGGAUUCGCUAGUAAUCGCGCAUCAGCCAUGGCGCGGUGAAUACGUUCCCGGGCCUUGUACACACCGCCCGUCAAGCCAUGAAAGCCGGGGGUACCUGAAGUACGUAACCGCAAGGAGCGUCCUAGGGUAAAACUGGUAAUUGGGGCUAAGUCGUAACAAGGUAGCCGUACCGGAAGGUGCGGCUGGAACACCUCCUUU